RNAcentral lists this transfer RNA (62 nucleotides) under Bankia gouldi. RNAcentral describes it as "tRNA-Cys". Lineage: Eukaryota; Metazoa; Mollusca; Bivalvia; Myida; Teredinidae. The record is from RNAcentral.
UCUCUAGUAGUUUAAGAAGAACGUGAGAUUGCAAAUCUUGAGGUAAAUGGUUUUCUGGAGAU